ACUGUCCCGCCCCAUUACGGAAGUGAGUUCCAGGAGGCCGCGUCACCAUAGCAACCGAAGCCUCAGCCACGCCGCGCAGCCGCGGCACCACUACCUCUUUGGAGUUCGUUUCUUCUCCCUGCCCCGGGGCUGGGGGAGAGACACAUCACCAUCCUGCUAAAUGAUUGGGCCAGGUGCCCUUGUGAAGUUGAGCCGAGCCGGAAGUGGUCAGGGCCAGAGAGGAGAGGGGGCGCGGUAACCCCCCAGGCCGCAGGCAGGACGGGUCUGUCCAAGUCUAAGCUGCCCCGGAUGGGCAGACCCCCGAGGCCCCAGGAGAACGACCUUGACAAAAGCUACAGAAAACUUUGCUAGGUGCUGCUGUCAUUGCAAGCCUGUAGAGAUGGCAGGGGGCUGGAGGCUGAUUCUCCCUCAUCCCAGUACCAGCACAGGGCUAAGGGAGUGUACUGCGUGCAAGAGAGUUAAUUCUCGCUAUCUUCUAUGGCUGGCUCAACAUGAAGGAUCCCAAUUUUGAAAGAAAAGAAAGGAUGUGAGACACAGAAUGAACGAGAGAGUGAGAGCCGGGCAUGACCUCCAACCACUCACAGAGAGGGCUCCCCUGCGCCCUGCCCCCAUGGCAGCCAUCGCUCUCUCGCCUAACAAAUGGAGG
Molecule: long non-coding RNA, 646 nt
Organism: Pipistrellus kuhlii (Kuhl's pipistrelle)
Lineage: Eukaryota; Metazoa; Chordata; Mammalia; Chiroptera; Vespertilionidae
Exons: 3
Source: RefSeq, a predicted model, not a curated record